CAAGAAUGUUCUGUGAGGCAAGCUGUUUAACUUAUUAGCAGAGCUUUAAACUAGAUUCAGCAGUGGACAAGGAUUUACUUCUGACAGAGGAGAAACAGGGAACACCGACACUUCAGGAAGCAACAGGGAAAUAUGUGAAUCGCCCCAAAGUAAUUACUGGAUGCUCCACUGAAAAGGUGAUGGGGCUGACAGCCUAGCUGAAGUGCCUCCACAUCAUAGCACACCUUAUGGGAAGCAAGCGGGAGGAGUCGGAAACCAUGUUGUAAUCAGAAAAUUAUGACCUAAUUGCUACCAUAGAAACGUGGUGGAAUGAAUCACUCAGCUGGAACACUUCAAGUGAGGGCUACAAGCUAUACAGAAGAGAUAGGCAGGGAAGGAGAGGCUGGGAUGUUGUCUUCUAUGGAAAUAAAUUGAUAGAUUGUGAAGAGCUGUUCUGAGAAACAGUCACAAACAGGUUGAGAGCUUGUGGGUAAAACUUAGGGACGAGACCAAUAAAGGACACAUUAUCAUUAGGUUCUACUUCAGGCCACUUGAUGAAGGGAAGCCAGUUGACAGGACCUUCUUGAUUCAGGUCCUGCUGAAAUGACCCCAAUUGCAACGUGAUGGGCUCUUCCAGCUGCUUCCCACAGAGAUGGUUCUUACUUCAGCUGCCUGUGCAAGGCAUUGGACCGUAGAUGAGUGCUUACAGAGAUAAGUGUAUUUUGGAGGGAUCCUUCUUCCCCAUCCAUGAUGGAGGGAUCCAUCUUCCCUAUCCAGCCACAGACUGCAGAGAUACAAAUGCAAAGUCAUGCGACAUGUCAAAGACCUGGUGCCAAAGCCCUGAGACUGGGGAGGUACAAAUAGGUUGCAGAUGCUUGUCCCCUGUAUGGCCUUGUCACAGGAUUUCUCCACACCUCAACAAAUCUUCUCUGCCUUCUGCUGAUCCCUGCAUUUUGUUCCAACACUCUAAAUGAAAGCCUUUCCCUCAGUGACCAAAAUGACCACUUUGUAUACUGCAUGAGUGAUGUUUUUAAUUUCUCUCUCUGUUACUUCAGACAUGUAUUAGAAAACAAAUGGUUAUAACUGUACACUUAUGGAAACAUAAAUAAGUGUGCUACUUCCACUAAGCACAUUCACAGUGAGUAGCGUUUAGUAACUUAGGUAGAUCUUUUUGACCUUGGAAGCAACUAUUGUACUAUGUAAGCUAAUACAUGAGAAAUGAUCUUAAAACAAAUCAUAUUUCCACCUCAAAUGGGAGCAAAAAGACAAUCUAUUUCAAAGACACUCUUUCCUCCUUUUUUUUUUUUGCUUAUGCUAUCAAAAAUACAGGUGCAAUAAAGAAAGGGGUAAGAUUUGCGGUUUUGUUAUCCUAUUACCAUGACAGCAAAGACAGACAUGCUAUUCUGUUAUUAAACAUAUCCAAUUACAGCCAUAAAAUGUUGCUCCUAUUUUUAUUAUCUGUCUUAGGGUUAUAAAGUUUUGUAGGUUAGAUGGGGAAAAAAAAUACACAUGAAAAUGCUUCAAUACAUAUUUGCCACACACACUCCAGUGUAUACAUUUCCUUGGAAACAGCCAAAAAAGGCCCAAAGUAUGGAUAGAAUGUACAGAAAUCAGGAAAGCUAGUCUAAGAGCCAACUCACUUUUUUAGAUGUACUUGUAGCUCCAGUAUGAAACAAAGCAUUUGUGUUAUAUUGAUAACAUUUAUUUUGCUGUCUUAAUGUACAUGGAAAGAAUCUGGUCUGAAAAGAGAACCUUUAUUUUAAUGUAUGUGACCAAAUUCUACAUUAAAUUGUAUCCUCAGAGACAUAUACAUUGUUGCUAGCUUUGGUGAGGACAGAUUUUGGUCCAUUACGCUGAGAAUCGCUCAGUUUGAUAUUUCACAUUCACCCUGAGAGGUAAGUAAAAACACUAUGGUACACACUUGCAAAGCUAUUGAGGAUCUGUUACUUACUGAAAUUAAUGGAGCUUCUGUUAACUGAGAUCUGGAGGAAUUAGCAAAUAACUCACAUUUUAUAUUUAAUGUGUUAUUAUACUGUUCAACUAUAACUACUAACAAUGAAAUACUUUAAUUUUCCUAGUAUAAAAUUUUCAGUUCACCUUCUUUGUUCUUUUUUAUUCCUUUUUUUUAUACACAUAUAUUUAUAUACAUAUAAAGGAAAAGGUGUCAGUGACUCACCAUGUUCCAGUGUAUCCAGGUACACACAUAAUUUAGUGGAACUGUCAACAUGCAUUACUGGGAAACUGUACUGUGUUUUUCUUCAUUUUCUAGUCUUGUACCAGAGAUGGAAAGACUAAUGUUGUCACAAUAGAAACAUACGAAAACAGUAGAGAUGUUUUAUUAAUUUUAUCACCAGAAGGCAGAGCAGCUGCAACUACGUAAUAGCUCUGCCUUUAAAAUGCUUUAGCACAUCUUUCAUUGUGUGGUAGCAUAUUUACUAUACACAGACUGAAUAUCACCAUGAAAUGAAUGUUUUGAGCAAUAAAAUAAAAACUAAGGCUUACAUUCUAUUCAUUCUACUUUUCUGUUUUGUGCUCUACAGUUUAAUCUUCUGCUUUUUAAUUCCACAUUCCUUUGUUGGUCUAACAAAUGUACAAGACAAAUCAGAUCAAACCACACAAUCACUGUGUAAGAACCCAUUUUGUUGGCAUAUGUGUUCUUAUCUUUCUUUCUUUCCUUGUAAAACUUCAAUAUGUCUUUAAUAAGAGAUGCUGUGUUCACAUAUAUGUAAUCUGAAAGAUUUCUGAGAAAGGGUUGUUUUUUAAGGUGGUUGGAUGAAUGGAUUUCUGUUUCUUUAAGCUAGCAACGUAGUGUCACUACAUUGUAUUAAAUACAUAUGUAUAUAUAAUUCUAAUUUGUACUGUACAACAUAUUCAUUAAUCUUUCAUUGAUCUUAGCAUAUACUUGUCCAUGAACUGCUAAGUGCAUUAAGAGCAGUUCACCAAUACCUUUCAUGAAAAGGUACAUUGUCU
Cairina moschata (Muscovy duck) is the source of this 2949-nucleotide long non-coding RNA. The record is from Ensembl. Lineage: Eukaryota; Metazoa; Chordata; Aves; Anseriformes; Anatidae.